GGGCCUAUAGCUCAGUUGGUUAGAGCAACGGACUCAUAAUCCGUCGGUCGUAGGUUCGAGUCCUACUGGGCCCACCA
Molecule: transfer RNA, 77 nt
Filed under: Gemmatimonadota bacterium
Lineage: Bacteria; Pseudomonadati; Gemmatimonadota
Description: Gemmatimonadetes bacterium tRNA-Ile
Rfam family: tRNA
About the family: Transfer RNA (tRNA) molecules are approximately 80 nucleotides in length.
Source: RNAcentral